Molecule: ribosomal RNA, 242 nt
Filed under: uncultured Staphylococcus sp.
Lineage: Bacteria; Bacillati; Bacillota; Bacilli; Caryophanales; Staphylococcaceae
Description: partial 16S ribosomal RNA
Rfam family: Bacterial small subunit ribosomal RNA
Source: RNAcentral
CGGGACGGGUGAGUAACACGUGGAUAACCUACCUAUAAGACUGGGAUAACUUCGGGAAACCGGAGCUAAUACCGGAUAAUAUUUUGAACCGCAUGGUUCAAAAGUGAAAGACGGUCUUGCUGUCACUUAUAGAUGGAUCCGCGCUGCAUUAGCUAGUUGGUAGGGUAACGGCUUACCAAGGCAACGAUGCAUAGCCGACCUGAGAGGGUGAUCGGCCACACUGGAACUGAGACACGGUCCAG